RNAcentral lists this transfer RNA (85 nucleotides) under Hyphomonadaceae bacterium. Its description in RNAcentral is "tRNA-Leu". It matches the Rfam family "tRNA". Rfam says of the family: Transfer RNA (tRNA) molecules are approximately 80 nucleotides in length. Their secondary structure includes four short double-helical elements and three loops (D, anti-codon, and T loops). Lineage: Bacteria; Pseudomonadati; Pseudomonadota; Alphaproteobacteria; Hyphomonadales; Hyphomonadaceae. The record is from RNAcentral.
GCGCUCGUGGCGGAAUUGGUAGACGCACCACCUUGAGGUGGUGGCGGGGAGACCCGUGGAGGUUCGAGUCCUCUCGAGCGCACCA